Molecule: non-coding RNA, 1448 nt
Organism: Rattus norvegicus (Norway rat)
Lineage: Eukaryota; Metazoa; Chordata; Mammalia; Rodentia; Muridae
Source: RefSeq, a predicted model, not a curated record
GAAAAUAAGGAGUAGCUGGGCACUGAGGAGCACCAGCAGUACUAUCAGCACAUGGAAGUGAAGGCAGGAUUUGUGAGACCAGCCUGGCAAUACAGCAAACUACUAGAAGAAAAGAGGAAAGAAAAGAGAAGAGGAGGGGAGGGGAGGGGGAGGGGAGGGGAGGGGAGGGGAGGGGAGGGGAGGGGAGGGGAGGGGAGGGAAGGGAAGGGAAGGGAAGGGAAGGGAAGGGAAGGGAAGGGAAGGGCUUCUCUGUCUUUAGCAUUUACCUUAGAAAAUCUGCAGCUUGCUGUGUGCAGCCAACCCUAAUCCCAGCAGUCUGGAUGCAGAGGCAGGAGGAACUCUAUGGGUUGGAGGCCUGGUCCAAAGUGGUAUAAAGUGAGCUCUCGACAGCCAGGGUUACAUAGGGAGACCCUGCCUCCAAUUAAUUAAUGAAUAUACUAAAUCUGCAGCUGUGUGUAGUUCCUCUUUUCUUUGAAAUGUACACAAAUGUUGAGAGGACUGGACAGGUCUUUGAUCUAGGAAUGCCUUUCUCAGGGAGCCACCUCUUAGCAUUCCAGUUUCUGUGUAAGGUAAGAGACUUCCACAGCAUCUAAAGUGCAGAAUAACCUAUCAUAAAGAUAGGAGGAGGAUUCUGUUUAUUGCUCCAAACAAAGCCAACCAGGUAACACGGACAGUCAUACCCCAUUACCAGGCAAGUCCUCUUACUAUAGGAACAUAUACAUACCACAGGUUACACCUACAUGACCACGUAAAGUGUGAGAUUUCUUUGUCUUUGCAAUCUCUUAGCACUGUACCUGUGAUACAGCUCACAUGCUAGUUUAAUGCUUACUCAACUAAAAAGGAAAGGACUGUGGUUGUAGUUCAGUGGUCAAGCACUUACUUGCCUAGCAUUCAUCAUCUUAGGGCCAAUCCCCAUCAUGAGGGGCAAAGAGAAGUUUCUGUCUCCACUGCCUUUAAAAGUGUUCUGUAUUUGGAAGACCCUACUGUGGAUUCUAUUUUCCCUCAAAGGUGUGAGUAGAAUGGCAUGGAAUGUUGGGCCUACAGUUUUAGAAUGUAAAGGGAAGAUACCAAAAAGAACAAAUACAGAACUCAGAGAUGUGUAAAAAAAAAAAAAAAAAAAAACCAAAUGGCUCAGUGAUUCCGGAUCGAAUCCCCCCUGAACCUGUGAGUGUCCCCUUUCCAUGGCACAGGAGAAACUUCAGACUGACAUGGAGAAGGGCUUCUCCUGAUUACAAAACGCCAAAGCAAGGAGAAAGUCAGCAGCCCUCCCUCAGUCAGGACACUGAGCAGAAAAGCCAUCUGAGAAUCAACCCUGCAAGCUGUGGCAAACUAAGUCAAAAGGAAGCUACAAUAGCAGCACUGCUCCCAGCACAGCCUUUGCUACUCGAAACCUCUGGGAGACUCCUUACAUAGACACCGUUCUCUGGGAACUAAAAGCUAAGCUUAAA